AUUGAACGCUGGCGGCAUGCUUUACACAUGCAAGUCGAACGGCAGCGCGGGCUUCGGCCUGGCGGCGAGUGGCGAACGGGUGAGUAAUGCAUCGGAACGUGCCCAGUAGUGGGGGAUAGCCCGGCGAAAGCCGGAUUAAUACCGCAUACGACCUGAGGGUGAAAGCGGGGGACCGAAAGGCCUCGCGCUAUUGGAGCGGCCGAUGUCGGAUUAGCUAGUUGGUGUGGUAAAGGCUUACCAAGGCGACGAUCCGUAGCUGGUCUGAGAGGACGACCAGCCACACUGGGACUGAGACACGGCCCAGACUCCUACGGGAGGCAGCAGUGGGGAAUUUUGGACAAUGGGGGCAACCCUGAUCCAGCCAUGCCGCGUGCGGGAAGAAGGCCUUCGGGUUGUAAACCGCUUUUGUUCGGGAAGAAAUCCUCUGGGCUAAUACCCCGGGGGGAUGACGGUACCGGAAGAAUAAGCACCGGCUAACUACGUG
RNAcentral lists this ribosomal RNA (484 nucleotides) under uncultured bacterium. RNAcentral's name for it is "partial 16S ribosomal RNA". It matches the Rfam family "Bacterial small subunit ribosomal RNA", at positions 28 to 507 of the family's 1533-position model. The record is from RNAcentral.